UCUUUUUACAGGGAAAUGUGCCACAUACCCAUCUUCAGAGUCUAUCUCUUUUGCUGGCAGACAGGAUAGUUCUUGGCAUUUUGUGCCCUGGUGCAAGAGGAAUAUGCCUAGAUUCAGCCAAUAUCUACAUUGCUGCAGCUCUCAAAUAUCACUAAUUUCAUGGACCCAUGUGACCAACUCAGGUAAGCAUGUGGGGAUAUCUGCUUAUUAAUUCCGAUCAUCUUUUGAACCCAGAAGGGAGCCCUAAAGGGCAUCGACAUGUACUGCUUUAAUACCCCCUUCAAACUGUCACAGGACUGUGCCUGUUGCAGACAUCCCUUCAUUAGGCCGGGUUUCCAUUGACUUCCUGCCUACUGUAUGGCUAGGACAUUGGCUGCCGUCCAUGAGUCAGUAAAAACCCAAACAUAGGAGCUUUACCACUGUUCAAUUCUUCCAUCUCUGCUAGGGAAACAUCAUGCAAUUCAGCCCACCAGGCUGAUUUGUUAUUACCCUAUUCAAUCAGAGUGACAUCUUUUGAAAUAGAAUAUUGUCUGUUCACCUCAAAACUUCCAGCCACAAGCCAAGUAUCUGUUUAUUGGUCAGUGGAGGAUUGUUUAUAGGGAACUGUCCAAUUAUGUUUAAACCCAGCUGCUCCUCGCACAGUUUCAGAGUCAGUCCUGGGAGAAAAGAGGCUUCCUGCUUGUGAAUAUCUCCUUGCAUUUCUCAGGAUUCCAGUAGUCAGCAGAGUAAACAGAAAACCCACAGAAUGGGAGAAAAUCUUCACAAUCUAUACAUCUGACAAAGGACGAAUAUCCAGAAUCUACAAUGAACUGAAACAAAUCAGCAAGAAAAAAUACAAACAAUCCCAUGAAAAAGUGGGCUAAGGACACGAGUAGACAAUUCUCAAAAGAAGAAAUACGAAUGGCCAACAAACACAUGAAAAAAUGCUCAGCAUCACUAAAGAUCAGGGAAAUGCAAAUUAAAAUCACAAUGUGAUACCACCUUACUUCUGCAAGAAUGGCCAUAAUCAAAAAAUUUAAAACAAAACAAUAGAUGUUGGCAUGGAUGUGGUGAUCAGGGAACACUUCUAAACUGCUACUGGGAAUGUAAACUAGUACAGCUACUAUGGAAAACAGUGUGAAGAUUCCUUAAAGAACUAAAAGUAGAACUACCAUUUGAUUCAGCAAUCCCAGUACUGGGUAUCAACCCAGAGGAAAAGAAGUCAUGA
This 1207-nucleotide long non-coding RNA is filed under the name Papio anubis (olive baboon). Its description in RNAcentral is "lncRNA (ENSPANG00000043278.1)". Lineage: Eukaryota; Metazoa; Chordata; Mammalia; Primates; Cercopithecidae. The record is from RNAcentral.